Molecule: long non-coding RNA, 763 nt
Organism: Ceratitis capitata (Mediterranean fruit fly)
Lineage: Eukaryota; Metazoa; Arthropoda; Insecta; Diptera; Tephritidae
Exons: 3
Source: RefSeq, a predicted model, not a curated record
GAAUCAUUUGGCUGUAGUCUCAAAAGUGAAAAUAACAGCGAAGUUCAAGUUCAUGAUGGCUAUCUGCUGAUGGGUUUCUCUAGAUAACGAUAUUUCAAAAAUGAAUUCUUGUUACAAAUGGCAGACACCGUUUAUUAAAGAGAAGAACCGGGGCGUGCCGAUUGCCAUUUGUUCAACCUACGGGAUUGCUAAGAGGCUAUUUCACCUCUAUACGAUAUAAAGACAAUUUCUGGCGGCAGUGAUGAUUUCGUCGAUUCUGGCAGUUCACACGCUGUCUGCUAUCGGCCCCUCUCGUAUUUGACGUUAUCUGCAAAUGGGCAACCAGUUAAGAUUCCGUGAUGUUUUGGACAUAUCGAGUCUUAUAAACGAUGACAAAAAAAUGAAAUAAACAAUUAUCUUAUUAAACAAAAAUAAAACUGAAGGAAACUAUGUAUGCACAUAUUCUCACAUACAUACUCGUAUGAUCAUACAUCUAUUUUUGUAUAAGUACGUUGUUAGUUUACCUUUUUCCCGGUUACUUUUUCUAUUUUUACUAUUGUAUUUGGAUUCUACUACUGUACCGCAAUACAUUCAAACGGACAUGUAAUAAACAAUAAUUUUACUAUACUUACAUACAUCUGUACAGACAUACCGUGUCUCACAGCCGAAGUGAUGCAGCUGUGUUAGAAAUAGCACAAUAAGUUUUAUUUAAAAUUUAUAUAAAUUUUCCAGUUAAUAGCGGCAGAUAUACCCAUUUCAUUUAUGCUUUAUAAAUUUUAUAUUU